This 494-nucleotide long non-coding RNA is filed under the name Mustela putorius furo (domestic ferret). RNAcentral's name for it is "lncRNA (ENSMPUG00000029624.1)". Lineage: Eukaryota; Metazoa; Chordata; Mammalia; Carnivora; Mustelidae. The record is from RNAcentral.
AUGUUAGAACCAACCUUGAGAAUAGGAAACCCAGAACACAGAAGAGAGACCACUGAAAAUUUCAUGCUGUUUCACCUUUUCACUGUCUUUACUGUAAGCAUGCGUCAUAGUAGGAAUAUUGAUCGUUCACGACACAGUAAACACAGGGAAACCACCCACAGACAGUCUCAACAGGCUGGAGACAGGGCAGUCAAACAAGGCAUACAAAAAAUGAUGCAAAUCCAUUGGCAGAAGAAAGCAAGAUAAUCAGCUCCAGUAUAAAUGCUUCAAAGCACGUUCUGGAUCUUGUUUCUUUUUAUGCCCGGUCUAUACCAUAACACAGCACCCGUUUGUUGGUCCAAAGAAAAUACCAUCUGACUCCUUAAUUGCCUGAGGUUCACGGCGGCUCACAUUGUGGGUUCUCAAUAAAACAUUAAGCAAGAAUCUCUUUCUCCGUGGGCUCAAAUGAAUCAUACUUGAAUUUUACACUUUCUUCAGAUAUCCUGACUCACUAA